Molecule: long non-coding RNA, 1498 nt
Organism: Sebastes umbrosus (honeycomb rockfish)
Lineage: Eukaryota; Metazoa; Chordata; Actinopteri; Perciformes; Sebastidae
Exons: 3
Source: RefSeq, a predicted model, not a curated record
CUCAUCAGUCACUCCUAGCACUCACACCAGUCCACUUUCUUUUUUCUUUUCAGAUCAUCGUUGCUGGAUGGAGUUUUGGUAGCUGUUUGCUUGUUAUCUACCUGCCUGCUGUUACCUGCUGUUACCUGCCUGCCUUUUGGACUCUCUGCCUUGGAGUUACCUUGAGAUGCGGCUCUGUCUGGUAAUCCAUGCACAGGCUUGUUAACAGGAGGUGGCACAGGAGGAGGAGACUCCGGCCCCGGAGUGGACAGCGUUUGGCUGCGGUUCUUACGGAAACCGAAGAUGGCCAGCAUGUUUCUCCUCUUCUUCCUCCUCAGCGAGUGGGCUUUGUGCAGAGAGGAGAGCUGACUGAAAGUGAUGAGAGAGGUUGAAUGUCACACAUAAAGUCCAGUCAUGGUUGUUAGGAUGCCAUUGAACUCUUCACAGACAUCCACGCCGGCUUUUUGUUCACUAUGCUUCUGGUACAGUACAUUGGCCGUUUGAGCGUUGCUAGGCUACAUCUCUUGCUACAUAAUGAUUUAUCUAAAGUGCACUUCUUUAUAGUAUAAAAUGCAAUCACAUAAAAAGCACUGACUUAACUUGAUGAUCUGCAGUGUGGCAGGGAGCAACGUUAUUCUGAUAAGCUGUGACAGCUGUUCCUCAAUUCUGCUCCACCAAAAUAAAAGCUUAAACCAAACUGCUGCAUUUAUAUAGAGUGGUUCACAACCUGUUUUCCUUGAAGCCCCCCCACUAAGAAAAGCUGAGCCCCCACUACGUCAACACCCUGACAAAAAUUACACAUCCUUGAACAAAAUCCUCAGUUUGAAUAAGGUGAUUCAGCGUAUUAAAUCUUUUUCUUUUUAUUAAAUCAACUUUCUUUAAUGAAUAGAACUUGUCAGUUUCAUCAACAUAAAUAAAGUGAUGAUGUCUUGACAGAUUUGCAAAAUGAAUGCAGAUACGUAAUAUGAUCUUUGUAACAACUUGAUUAAUUUACUAUAAUAUUGUUUUCGUCGGGGUAGGGCUGUCACAAUAACAGCAAUAUUGCAUUACCGCGCUAUUGACAAGCCAACCGCAGGGGAUGGCAAGCAACCGCCACAACCGCUAUGUUCGCGUUUUUUGUUUUUUGAAUUCUUUGCAAUGGGAGUGCCACAUUUCUACACUUUGCAAUAAACAGCAACAGCGCGACAAGGCGCUGAGCGUCUAUUCUGCGCUAACUACCGUACGUAUGGCGUUUUUCGGGAACGUUGAAAAAUGUUCAACAUUGGGUAAAACUCUGCACUCAUCACUGUCACUUUUUUACCACAUAGACCAGCGGGUCCGUCCUCUCUCAGGCCUUCCCUUGUGUGCGGUGAGCGGGAAAGCAAAUAGAUUUUUGACGGCAGUGAAAAUGUUGUUUUUGAAAGGCUAAACGGCAACAAAUACGGAUUGAAGCAGAAUAUUUCAUUAGAUUUUGCUGCUAAGUAGCAAAAAAUAUAUAUUUUUAAAUAGUUUUAUUUACAGACUUUUGUAAAACUAAUCC